CCUACGGGAGGCAGCAGUGAGGAAUAUUGGUCAAUGGGAGAGAUCCUGAACCAGCCAAGCCGCGUGAGGGAAGACGGCCCUAUGGGUUCUAAACCUCUUUUGUCGGAGAACAAAACCCGGGACGUGUCCCGGACUGCGUGUAUCCGAAGAAAAAGCAUCGGCUAACUCCGUGCCAGCAGCCGCGGUAAUACGGAGGAUGCGAGCGUUAUCCGGAUUUAUUGGGUUUAAAGGGUGCGUAGGCGGUCCGUUAAGUCAGCGGUAAAAUGGCGGGGCUCAACCCCGUCGAGCCGUUGAAACUGGCAGACUUGAGUGGGCGAGAAGUACGCGGAAUGCGCGGUGUAGCGGUGAAAUGCAUAGAUAUCGCGCAGAACUCCGAUUGCGAAGGCAGCGUACCGGCGCCAGACUGACGCUGAGGCACGAAAGCGUGGGGAUCGAACAGGAUUAGAUACCCUUGUAGUC
RNAcentral lists this ribosomal RNA (459 nucleotides) under uncultured bacterium. Its description in RNAcentral is "partial 16S ribosomal RNA". It matches the Rfam family "Bacterial small subunit ribosomal RNA", at positions 338 to 795 of the family's 1533-position model. The record is from RNAcentral.